AAAAGGAAGGGCCAUGCCCCAAACUGACCUGCCCCCAGACAACACCUGGAAUUUGGGCUGUCCCCAUGGGCACCAGUUCCCUCAGGAAGGGUGGCAGCCCUGCAGCACCCUGCUCCCAUGGCCCCCGUGGUCUGAGCCCCUGGGCUAGCUGGUCUGACUGAAGAAGACUCCUUUGAACAGAGCGGUCCUACCUCACCACAGCUGAUAUCCGCGCACUCCUCUGCUCUCCUGGGAUCCACAACAGCGUUCUUCAUGAAGCCGAGCAGCGAGGUGGAUCAGCAGCCGUGAGGUGGAACACGGUGUUGAGGCAAUGGUGGCUCGCACCCACAUGCUCAGAGGAGGACAGGGCACCCCAGCCAGCUGUGCCACCCCACGCUGGGCUCCCUUCAGCAGCACCAGGGCUGGGGAGCUGCAGAGACAGAGCCUCCCAGGGCCAAUGGCCCUGACGAACACGUACCAUCCACCUUGCAGUAUUACCAUUGUGCUUUGUCGUCAGCGGAGUCAUGCUAUGAUAGUUGUUACGGUUUUGAAUGACUCAUUUUCCACUUAACUGUAUUAUUGUGGCUGACAGAGCAUCUGGAGCUCUGCAGCUCUAAAUACAUCACUGAAUAUUACAGCAAUAUACUAAUCUCUUGCUUUGAAGGAUCUAUUUAACAAAAUACAGUUGCGUCAGGCAGGUGUGUCUGUGCCUGGUCCGGCUCACUGCUCCUCAGGCAUCUGUCUGGUGAUACCACAACACAGUGCACUGCAUGGGGCAGAAACACGUCCAGCUGGUGACAUGCUUGCAGAAACUGAUUGAUCGUCUUCAUGUUGCCUGAAGUUGGUAUAUUUUGAUGAGAAAAUGAGAGAUUCUUGUCAGCUGCACAUGAGAGACCCUGUGCUUGUGCUGAGGCAGCCAGGCCCAUGAGGUGCUGGUGCCUCAGGGAAUUACAUGGGCCUGCUCUGGCCAGUCAGUUCCGAGUGGAAGGACCCCUCUGGACUCCUUUUAUUAUUAUUUUACUAUACUUUCCUUCAGUUUGAGGCCUUUAGUCCCUUCAGGCACAGCCUGGCAGCGAGCUGCAGAGGGCAGUGUGGGAGAGAGAAACCACAGCCAACAUGGCGGCGGCGCGGCCGGCGUGCACGGACACUAGAGGGAGUUGGCGCCUUAGCCUGUCGGGCUCGUAUGGCACCUUAAACAUGUAGUUUUGGGGGCUUUUUGCCUGUCUGAGGUGUUUUUUUAACCCUCGGGCAGACUCUGCCUGCCGGGAGCUCUUGAGCCGGGACGCUUCUGAUUGUACACCUGCAAGGUGUUAGGAUGAGUCUAGGUCGGGAGUUACUCUGAUGAAGGCAUCUUGAGGAACACAGCGAGCUGAGGACCACAGCAAGUUGAAGUAAAGGCUGGCGAAAAAAAUGCUGUCAUGUCGCCUGAGGUGAUGGAAAGAUGAAGUAAGAAAAGGAGCAGGUAUCUGAAGACCUGUUGAAGAUAAUAAUAAACUCUUGCUGCUGAGUAUCAGAGAAAUCCCAGGGGUUCCUGAAUUUGCCACAGGAUCUAUGAAAACAAUGAACAAAAAAAGUCACUCUUCUGUGUGGAGAGCAAAAUUCUCCAGAUAACUUUAAAAGACAAAACAGGAAAUGUUAUCUUGAAAUGUUCAACCCAAAAUGAAGUAAUGGUUUCUAAAGCCCCAGCACAGCCACAUCCUGAGGUUGUAUGCCAGCAGAGCAAACGGAGAGCUGGGACCAUACUGGCUUCAGGAAGCAGAUAUCACCUCUCUGUGAAUUGCUGUGCUUAUUCCAGAGCAAGCCAAGCUUCUCAGGACUGCUGGUUCAAGAACUGGGACUUUGCAGUAACCAGACUUUCAGGUUCCCCAUAUUACUGGUACAUACCAGUUCAGAGGACCCAAAACCAGUUACUAACGAAAAUCUUUGCCUAUGAAAUCUGACCAAAGACUCAGUUCUCAUAUUUUCCGUAUGGGGUUCACAGAUCACAAAUUUCAAAGCUCUGUCAACGUAAGGAGACACAAGUUUCCUGAGGCUGCUGAUCCUGCAGUUAAACCAAAAGCCCCUUUCAGGUAAUUUACAUGUUUGUUUUGCCUGUGGUGUUGUGAAAUCCCUGCAGCCUCCUAGCAAAGUGUAUGGGGAAACUUACUCCUGUUGUUGGAAGCUAGUACAUUUCCAGGAUGCAUUUUUGUUUUGGUUUAUUGCUUUUUUUCCAGUAUUUUCCUGGAAAAUUUUCAGCGGUUCUAAUUCUGCCUUGUGUGGUUAGGUGGCAAACACCUCAGAGCACAGCCUGGCAUACUGCGUAUACAUAUGGUACUGCACUCUGUUUGCAGCUGAAUUGUAAUGGCUAAAGGCCACCACAAAGCUCCAGAUACUCAAUGAGCCUUGCAUGCUUGGCUAAGGCAUGUCUUCCACCAUUGUCACAUCAUUAUAUCUAGAUGAAAGGGCUUUGACACUUUGAUUAGGACUUCACACAACUGCAGAAAUAGGAUCUAAAGGGGAACUUGUGCACCAGGAGGGUGCUUCACCUCCAAGCAGCUCCUGCAUGUCAUGCCAUGAUGAUUUCAGCUGUUCCCUAUGAAGCUGUUCUUUGUUUAGAUUUGCCUAGUCUUGGAUCUGAGUCCCCUGUGCUGGAUUCUGUGUAACGCAGGAAAAGGUGGCUCACUAACUGGGUAUGAAACAACCAGGACUGUGCAAAGACGAGGAUACAGCUUUACCUGAACAGGAUGGGCUUUGGUGCCAAAGCUUUUUCAGUGGGUUUAAGUGUUGCCCAGCUUUUCCAGGCAGUAAAGAAGCACUUUAAGGUGGAAAUUGAUGGCUGCUCAAACCAAUAACUUUGCCUACCUUUCAGGUGCGCUUCUCCCACAGGUGAAGGUGAUAAUAUAGGAGAAGGUAUGCUGGUGUUUGCUUAUAGGCUACAGCUAAAACUUGGAGGAAGAUUAGGGUUGGGAUGUUUGUUCUGUUCCUUCUCUUUCCUCAGUUAUCUUAGAUCAGGGUACAGGUGAAUAAACUUAGUACCUCUUUGAGCCAUAGAGAAUAGCUAAAGACUUAAAGUUAGACAGAAAACUGUGCAUCUUGUGGAGACUGUUUCUAUUCUCAGGAGUCUUGGUAAGUUUUUGGUUUUGUUGCUGUCUGGUAGUAUGUGUUGGACUGAUUGUCUAAUGAUAAAGUGGCCCUGGUUGUUUAAUAGCUCUGUAUCUCACAGACUUGAAUGGAUUUUGUUUGUUUGGGAUUUUUUGGUUUGGUUUGUGGUUUUGUCAUGUUUAUAAGAAGAAUUUCAUAAGUGGGGAGCCCAGUCAAAGAAAAGUGAAGUUCAAGACUGCAUGUAGCUGGUAAAGGAGGAGCUCAGCUGUGGUUUCACAAGUUCAUCCUUAUCAGCAGCUUGGUAGAGAUGACUAGAGAAUGAAUAGCUAGAUGAACCAUGAGUUAAGAAGGAGAAGAGGGAUGCAGAAUAACAUGUAAAGCUGGUCACUUCAAACUGUGAAUGACUUUUGGUUUGAGGAACUCAUUCUAAUGCUAUUUGUGCUCAAGCUGCCCUUGACAAGAGCAAAAAACUUCUCUUCCGGGUUGCAAUGUAGCGAUUUUUUGCCUGCCCUAAAUUCACUUAAUUUUAACUUAAUCACUCUGUUUUUUUAAUGUUUCUCUGAGACGUACAUGUUGCUGGCUCAGCACUAAUAGUGAGAAGUUGAAAGAAGUUAAUCGUGCUGUGUAGCUCAAUGCCUUAUGAUUUAUUAUUAAGAAUAAAGACAAGCACUCCUCUAUUUUAUCUCUAAU
Molecule: long non-coding RNA, 3750 nt
Organism: Pezoporus occidentalis (night parrot)
Lineage: Eukaryota; Metazoa; Chordata; Aves; Psittaciformes; Psittacidae
Exons: 3
Source: RefSeq, a predicted model, not a curated record